Pelobates cultripes (western spadefoot toad) is the source of this 360-nucleotide non-coding RNA. The record is from the annotation of a GenBank genome assembly. NCBI's taxonomy places the organism in Eukaryota, Metazoa, Chordata, Amphibia, Anura, Pelobatidae.
CUCGUCUCAUGGCGAAGUUGUUGAUGAUAUGCCAUGUGCUUAGUUGUCUGAGUAACAAUGGAUUGAUGACCCUGACCAUGAUUUACCCCAUUCCACAGGAGCUGCUUUUAGUGGGGAAAGAAUUGCCUAUUUUUAUGCCAUGUAAGUGCCAGUGUGUAGGGUAAUGGUAGCCAUUUACUGUGUUGAUGAUAUUGGUCUUACUUAACCAAGCUUCAACCCAUGCUUGAGUGAUAGCUGUAAAGGUAGAUCAAUGGUGUGUAUAGUAAGGAAACUCUUCGGAGGGUAUGAGGGAGUUGAGACUUGGGGUAGCGAAGGUGUGUGGUGCCAAUAAGUCUAUGGUUAGUCUUUGUUUAAGGGAAG